RNAcentral lists this long non-coding RNA (1078 nucleotides) under Salmo salar (Atlantic salmon). RNAcentral describes it as "lncRNA (ENSSSAG00000110846.1)". The record is from RNAcentral. Lineage: Eukaryota; Metazoa; Chordata; Actinopteri; Salmoniformes; Salmonidae.
GUCUUCCUGUCUGGGUUGGCGCCCCCCUUGGGUUGUGCCGUGGCGGAGAUCUUUGUGGGCUAUACUCGGCCUUGUCUCAGGAUAAUAAGUUGGUGGUUGAAGACAUCCCUCUAGUGGGGUGGCGGAGAUCUUUGUGGGCUAUACUCGGCAUUGUCUCAGGAUAAUAAGUUGGUGGUUGAAGAUAUCCCUCUAGUGGUGUGGGGGCUGUGCUUUGGCAAAGUGGGUGGGUUAUAUCCUGCCUGUUUGGCCCUGUCCGGGGGUAUCAUCGGAUGGGGCCACAGUGUCUCCUGACCUCUCCUGUCUCAGCCUCCAGUAUUUAUGCUGCAGUAGUUUAUGUGUCAGGGGGCUAGGGUCAGUCUGUUAUAUCUGGAGUAUUUCUCCUGUCUUAUCCAGUGUCCUGUGUGAAUUUAAGUAUGCUCUCUCUAAUUCUCUCUCUCUCGGAGGAGGACCUGAGCCCUAGGACCAUGCCUCAGGACUACCUGGCAUGAUGACUCCUUGCUGUCCCCAGUCCACCUGGCCGUGCUGCUGCUCCAGUUUCAACUGUUCUGCCUGCGGCUAUGGAACCCUGAACUGUUCAUUGCAAAAGAUGACGUACCUUGUCCCGGAUCUGGGUUCUGUAGCGGAAGUAGCAGCAGUAUGCAGAGUUCCUGGGGUUCAGCCGUGUCUUCUAUAUGAGAUAGCUACAUCACUGCUGGACUAACACACUGCAUAACCUUAACCAGUUUGAUGGAGGUAUAAAUAAAUCUAAACUUUAUUAUAAUGACCUUUCAUAAAAGUUGUAGAAAAAGUUGGAAAAGUACUUCUGACCCCAUCGCCGCUCGCAGCUCCCGUUUCCAGGCUCACCCCACGGUAAAAAUAUCCCGUUGGACCAGAGAGAUGAGCAGGGACCGUACCGGGCAGAGGGCUUGGCCGGGCAGGGGUGAGGAGAGUCGGUUACAGUCCCGUUCCUUGUUCCGUCCUGUGCUAGCAGCUCUUCCAUGGAGCCCCGGUCGGGACCGGCAUCAGCAGUGUGGUCCCGGAGAGGGAGAGCAGGCUGGAGUUAUCACACACACCAGCCCGUGUUUAGCUUGCCUGGUAC